RNAcentral lists this ribosomal RNA (397 nucleotides) under uncultured bacterium. RNAcentral describes it as "partial 16S ribosomal RNA". It matches the Rfam family "Bacterial small subunit ribosomal RNA", at positions 523 to 918 of the family's 1533-position model. The record is from RNAcentral.
AUACGUAGGUGACAAGCGUUAUCCGGAUUUACUGGGCGUAAAGGGCGCGUAGGCGGCGCGGUAAGUCUGGAGUGAAAGUCCUGCUUUCAAGGUGGGAAUUGCUUUGGAUACUGCCGCGCUUGAGUGCAGGAGAGGUUAUCGGAAUUCCCGGUGUAGCGGUGAAAUGCGUAGAGAUCGGGAGGAACACCAGUGGCGAAGGCGGGUAACUGGACUGCAACUGACGCUGAGGCGCGAAAGUGUGGGGAGCAAACAGGAUUAGAUACCCUGGUAGUCCACGCGGUAAACGAUGAAUGCUAGGUGUUGCGGGUAUCGACCCCUGCAGUGCCGGAGUAAACUCAAUAAGCAUUCCGCCUGGGGAGUACGGCCGCAAGGUUGAAACUCAAAUGAAUUGGCGGGG